GUAUUUCUUGGUGCCGCCCCGGCAAAGGCCGCGUAGAGUGGAGCUGCUGCCGGAGAUGCCUAACGGUGUGUUCUGAGGAGCGGCCAGCGGCGCGAUGGAGCGGGCCAGGGACCGUUUACACCUGAGACGGACUACAGAACAGCACGUACCAGAGGUAGAAGUCCAAGUCAAACGGAGAAGAACAGCCUCACUGAGCAACCAGGAGUGUCACCUGUAUCCAAGGCGAUCUCAGCAGCAGCAGCAAGUACCUGUGGUGGAUUUCCAGGCGGAACUGAGACAGGCAUUCUUAGCUGAGACACCAAGAGGUGGUUAAAGAAGUAUUGGAACACCCAGGUAGCUGAUUCCAAGAGAGAAAACAAAAUAAAACAGCUGACAAUGUAAUAAAGCUAUUAAUCUAUGAUUUUUUCAAUGUUUCAAUGUAGGUUUAUUUACAGUGUGUCUUGUGUUGGUUGCUUAGAUUUUUAGGAAAACACUAUUAACUUUGAUUUAAUACUUUAUUUUUCCUUUCCGACUUUUAAAAAAUUAAGAUCUCAAUCCAAAGGGUUUAAUGUAUACUUUUUAGAAACUGCUAGAGGAAAGGGGUUUAUAGAUGAGUUUUCUUCUAGAUUUUCUUUAUUUCUAUUUUGAAAUAUAACCCCUCAACUCAAAUUAAUUAGGCCUGUUUAUGGCCAUCAUUUCAAAUUUUAAAGCAAAGGGAAAAUCCUCCCCAGCUGAAUCCUUUACCCAGCAUUCGGCAGUAAUUGAUUGGAUUUGAUUGCAAGACAGUGGAAUUGAUUUCGGGGGGCGGGUAGAAUCUGAUCAUUGUUCUCAGCUGUUCCCCAGAGUAAGGGCGUUUUUAAAUAAGUAAGUGUGCAUAAUUGACUAUUUUUAACCAAGAAUUUUUUGGCUUCUCAGUGCAGUUUACAUACUCUUGUAAGUUCCUGAGUAAAGUAUUAUUUAAAUUAUACAUUAUCUGUAAGUAGGACCAUCCAGUUUUCUGAGUUUCAAGUGCUCGUUUCAUCUAAACAGUACUAGGUACUAGGAUUGUUAUAGAGCAGGAGUUGGUAAAGUAUCUGGCCCAUUUAUUGCCUGUUUUUGUAAAUUUAUUGACACACAGCCAUGUCUAUUUAUUUACGUAUGGCCUGUGGCUGUUAUUGGCAGUACAGUGGCAGAUGGGAGUAUUUGUGACACAUUGAAUGGCAGGCAAAGCCUACAAUAUUUAUUAUCUUUCCCUUUAAAAGAAAAAGUUGGCUAAUCUCUCUCUUAGAGAACCACUUUCAAAGAUGAAAACACUAAGAUAGGGCCAGUAGGGAAGUGGUGAUAAUAUACAGUGUGGUGAAGGGAAAGGGGUUGUAGAAGGAGAGUAUAUGAAGUAAAUAUUCCACGGUAGAGAACCAGAUGAAUUUCUGGGAUAAGGGUCAGGUCUAAGACUAGUGCUAAAGUCUACUAUACAUGUAAAUGGGUAAAGGCAUUUUAACAAUUGAUAUGUUUUCUUUUUCAUUAUAAAAAUCUAAAUCAUGUGAGUGAUAGCCAAGAAAAAUGGGAAAGUAAACCACAGACUUUAAAUACCCAUGUUUCAACCGCAGCAGCAUGAGGUUGAAUUUUCUUUCAUUUUGCCCUUUUGCUUUUCUUUUGAAAAUGUAGUUAAUUGUAAUCAUGCUUUUAAACUAUUCCACUUAAAUGUAUAUCAUUAAUGUUCCUUCAUUUUAUUACAUAGUCCUCACAGUUAUCAUUUGUAAUGAAUAAAUGAUGGUCCAUUCAUGAUUUACUU
RNA transcript from Aethalodelphis obliquidens (Pacific white-sided dolphin), 1750 nucleotides. It is a transcript of the gene named SNRPN upstream open reading frame, with no coding region annotated. NCBI's taxonomy places the organism in Eukaryota, Metazoa, Chordata, Mammalia, Artiodactyla, Delphinidae. The transcript is spliced from 4 exons. The record is from RefSeq and is a predicted model, not a curated record.